GGGGGUGUUUUGGUUUUGACAGCGCCGAUGUCGGACGGUAAGCAUGCCGGGCGUUGGGGCCUUGCCCGUAAAUCUCAGACUCCAAAAUUCAGUUGCCAACAACAACUAUGCACUCGCUGCCUAAUUCGGCCAAGUCCAAUUAGCUUAAUCCGUCCCGCCAAGGCUGCGGGGCCGACGAGUAUCCCUCGGGCCUUCCGCCUCUUAAGGCCCGACAAAGGGGUAUCAAUCAUUUGAGGCCGCUCCGGAGGACGCCUCUAAAUCCGGCUAAGACUUAAAGGCUAAGGGACGCUUCGCCCGCUUUCCGGCAGGGCUUCCCCGACAACCAAAGGAAAGAUAAGCAUGUAGAAAGCCGCCUGGUGCGACGUUUGGACAGCGGUUCGAGUCCGCUCACCUCCACU
This 398-nucleotide transfer-messenger RNA is filed under the name bovine gut metagenome. It matches the Rfam family "transfer-messenger RNA". From Rfam's summary of the family: Bacterial tmRNA, also known as 10Sa RNA or SsrA, is named for its dual tRNA and mRNA-like properties. The record is from RNAcentral.